CUUUCUGUAUUUGUUCAAUGGGUGGAAAAAGGCAUGAAGGACAGAUGGAAAAAUAAAUCCUCUUUUGCAACCCAGAACUCCCUGUUCAGUACGAGUCUUGAUACAUACAAGAAGGAACACG
Molecule: small nucleolar RNA, 121 nt
Organism: Nannospalax galili (Upper Galilee mountains blind mole rat)
Lineage: Eukaryota; Metazoa; Chordata; Mammalia; Rodentia; Spalacidae
Source: Ensembl